AAAGUGGACUCUGCAGGGACACACUCUGAUCUAACCUGACCUGCUGCAAGAAGAUCUACAAACAUGCAUCUAUAUUAAACGAAGACUUCUGCUUUGAGGGCCUAACAGCUGUCACUUUCAUGCAUGUAACGUCAUGUGACUCCUCUGAGGACGACUGCAGGAUGGUACAACACACCAAGGUAAGAAAGAGAGACACUCCGGUCUGAACGGGAAAUAUUAACAUGUCCGGUCCUUCAUAAAAACUGAUGUUUUCUCUGCUUUCCCAUCUGCAGGCAGCCAUGUUGCAAGAUGUUGCACCACAGUGUUUGUUUUUAUUGAUUUGAAGACAGCUGGCUGAGCAAACUUAGAUUCUCCUACGAAAAAAGGUUCAAAAGUUUGACGUUCCUAAAGUAAACAGACUUAAACGAAGAGGGAUGAUGGUAAAUGAGAGAUACUGUAAAUUAAUUUAACUUACAGUAUCAGAGAAUAAAUCCAGCCCAUAUCAUCACAUAAGAUUUCUUUACUAAUGAAAACUGUUUAAUGAGCCGUCAGAGGAAGGGCCUGCUGCGACUAAAUGGGUGAAAAAAACGAUAUUAAUAAAAACUAAUUCUGUAUUUGAAUGUUUUUACGGUGCAGCAGUGACAGCGGAGUUUAUACUCAAGCUGUUUAAUCCUGUUUAACACAGCGUGUGUGUGGAAGUGUGUGUGUGUCAGUAAUGUAGUGUGAUGUUCUGACAGGAUAAACUGGGUUACUGUCGUGUUUCAGUCUCUUCAUGAAGCUUCACGAUAAUCACACUGAAAACUCAUCAACAUCCGCAAACACCCAGACUGUACACUCGUCUCAUCCUCUUCUUCCUCCUCCUCAAAAAUCCUCCUCCUCCUCUUCCCAAUCUACUUCGACUUAAUUGAGCGGCCUUCACUCCUCCCUCCAGAGCUUCAUGGAUAGAUGCGAUUCUUCUGACCUCUCUAAGCGCUUCUGCAUUUCAUGUCAGAUUCACACACUGAUGGUAACUAUGGAAACAAAAGGUUUAGAGUUUCAGGGACUUCAUGAGGCUCAUUAUUUUUGUUUGUUAAUGAAUAAGAGAGAUGCUCUGAUUUUUUACUCUCUGGGCUCGUUAGUGAUGGGCACGGCGGUUCUUUUAGAUGUACUGAAUCACUAGAAUCAGUUCACUAAAAAGAUUCGUUCACCAAAUCACCGAAUCACUUGACGCUUGGCAGGAGAGGCCUGCGACCCCUUCAGCUCAACUGAAGUGAGAAACAAACGAAUCACUCGAGGAAGUGAUUUGGUGCAGUAUGUUCACUUAAAAGAUUUGGUUCUUUUUAAUGAAUCAUUCACGAACGACACAACACUAGUGUCGAGUUUGUUUCUUAUCUGAAGAGUCCAUCUUUUCUCUGUUAUUAAGCUCCUCUGCAGCGUCCAAUCAGAGAGCGGUAUUCGAUCUAGGGUCAGUUUAAAGACCUCCAUGAUGGCUGCUCUGUUUCUCUCCUCUCUCUUCGAUCCUCUCUCCCUCUGUCUCUUUAACGUGGCGUGUUUGUUACUACUCCUACUAUAUCUGAGAGUUUAAGAAGCACCUACACUUUACUCUUCCUCUUCCUCUUCCUCUCCUUCGUCUUCUUCUUCCUCUCCUGUAAAAUCUGUUUCCUCGCGAGGAAAUCGAAAUUAAUCCGAACAUCUGUCUGAGGAAAACAAACACACCUGAGGGAAAAUCUCAACUUGAGAGAGAAGAGGCUGUUGUCGUCUGUUGUUGCCAUGGUUUCGGCAAUGACUCUACAGUCAGAUGACUGAACGCCUGUUUACCGUCUGUUUGUCUCCUCUCUGUCAUCUGUUUUUUUUUUUUUCUCUACAGCUCUUCAAAGUGUUCCAGAAAAUCAGCCGAGCCAAAACUGAAG
This is a non-coding RNA of Xyrichtys novacula (pearly razorfish), 1868 nucleotides long. Lineage: Eukaryota; Metazoa; Chordata; Actinopteri; Labriformes; Labridae. The record is from the annotation of a GenBank genome assembly.